GCAUAGGAGAUCUCGUCAAGGAAUAUCGCAAAUCAGGUGAGCCUUGAUGUGGGGACUUGGGCCGGAGGGGAUUCAGAGUAGCCACGGUGAUCGUCUUUUGGCUUUUAAACAAGUGUUGGUUUUCAUUAAAUUUCCUUUAAUUAUUAUUUAUUUUUGGGUUGUAAUAAGGCCAUUUUCACUUUGCUUUUAUUUCUUUUCGGGAUUAUUUUAAUUUUAAUAACUUCAAACCUGGUUGAUAA
This is a long non-coding RNA of Gossypium arboreum, 239 nucleotides long. RefSeq lists it as uncharacterized. The record is from RefSeq and is a predicted model, not a curated record. Lineage: Eukaryota; Viridiplantae; Streptophyta; Magnoliopsida; Malvales; Malvaceae. The transcript is spliced from 2 exons.